This 492-nucleotide ribosomal RNA is filed under the name uncultured bacterium. Its description in RNAcentral is "bacterial SSU rRNA". It matches the Rfam family "Bacterial small subunit ribosomal RNA", at positions 29 to 516 of the family's 1533-position model. The record is from RNAcentral.
AACGAACGCUGGCGGCAUGCCUAACACAUGCAAGUCGAACGGUAAGUUGAGUAGCAAUACUUAGCCAAGAGUGUCGUACGGGUGCGUAACACGUAUGCAACCUACCCUAUACAGGAGGAUAGCCUAGGGAAACCUGGAUUAACCCUUCAUAGUAUUAUUGGAUGGCAUCAUUUGAUAAUUAAAACUGAGGUGGUACAGGAUGAGCAUGCGUCUGAUUAGCUAGUUGGUAGUGUAAUGGACUACCAAGGCAAUGAUCAGUAGGGGAACUGAGAGGUUGAUCCCCCACACUGGCACUGAGAUACGGGCCAGACUCCUACGGGAGGCAGCAGUAGGGAAUAUUGGACAAUGGGUGAGAGCCUGAUCCAGCCAUGCCGCGUGCAGGAAGAAGGCCUUCUGGGUUGUAAACUGCCUUUAUCUGGGGAUAAAAAGGCCUUGCGAGGCAAACUGAAGGUACCAGAUGAAUAAGCCACGGCUAACUACGUGCCAGCAGCC